This 435-nucleotide ribosomal RNA is filed under the name uncultured bacterium. RNAcentral describes it as "partial 16S ribosomal RNA". It matches the Rfam family "Bacterial small subunit ribosomal RNA", at positions 28 to 507 of the family's 1533-position model. The record is from RNAcentral.
GAUGAACGCUGGCGGUAUGCUUAACACAUGCAAGUCGAACGGACUCGUCGGAGUUAGGGGCGGACGGGGGAGGAACGCGGGAGAAGCUGGCCGUGGGCUCGGGACAACCACUGGAAACGGAGGCUAAUACCGGAUGUGCCGAGAGGUAAAAGAGAAAUUGCCUGAAGAGGAGCGCGCGUCUGCUUAGCGAGGUGGGGAGGGAAAGGCACACCAAGGCAGCGAUCAGUAGCUGGUCGGAGGGGAAGAGCAGCCACAGGGGGACUGAGACACGGCCCAGACGUCUGCGGGAGGGCGCUGGGGGGAAUUUUCCGAAAUGGGGGAGCGCCUGACGGCGCAGUCCCGCGUGGGGUAAGAAGGCUCUUGGGUUGUAACCCUCUUUUCUUAGGGAAGAACAGAAUGACGGUAACUAAGGAAUCAGCAUCGGCUAACUCCGUG